CGCACGGGUGAGUAACACGUAUCCAACCUGCCGUCUACUCUUGGACAGCCUUCUGAAAGGAAGAUUAAUACAAGAUGGCAUCAUGAGUCCGCAUGUUCACAUGAUUAAAGGUAUUCCGGUAGACGAUGGGGAUGCGUUCCAUUAGAUAGUAGGCGGGGUAACGGUCCACCUAGUCUUCGAUGGAUAGGGGUUCUGAGAGGAAGGUCCCCCACAUUGGAACUGAGACACGGUCCAA
Molecule: ribosomal RNA, 235 nt
Filed under: uncultured bacterium
Lineage: Bacteria
Description: partial 16S ribosomal RNA
Rfam family: Bacterial small subunit ribosomal RNA
Source: RNAcentral